UUAAGCGACUAAGCGUACACGGUGGAUGCCCUGGCAGUCAGAGGCGAUGAAGGACGUGCUAAUCUGCGAAAAGCGCCGGCGAGGUGAUAUGAACCUUUGACCCGGCGAUGUCCGAAUGGGGAAACCCAGUGCAAUCCGUUGCACUAUCGUUAACUGAAUACAUAGGUUAACGAGGCGAACCGGGGGAACUGAAACAUCUAAGUACCCCGAGGAAAAGAAAUCAACCGAGAUUCCCCCAGUAGCGGCGAGCGAACGGGGAGCAGCCCGGAGUCUGAAUCAGCUUGUGUGUUAGUGGAACGGUCUGGAAAGUCCGACGGUACAGGGUGAUAGUCCCGUACACGAAAGCACACUUGCUGUGAACUCGAAGAGUAGGGCGGGACACGUGGUAUCCUGUCUGAAUAUGGGGGGACCAUCCUCCAAGGCUAAAUACUCCUGACUGACCGAUAGUGAACCAGUACCGUGAGGGAAAGGCGAAAAGAACCCCGGCGAGGGGAGUGAAAAAGAACCUGAAACCGUGUACGUACAAGCAGUGGGAGCCUCUUUAUGGGGUGACUGCGUACCUUUUGUAUAAUGGGUCAGCGACUUAUAUUCUGUAGCAAGGUUAACCGUAUAGGGGAGCCGAAGGGAAACCGAGUCUUAACUGGGCGUUAAGUUGCAGGGUAUAGACCCGAAACCCGGUGAUCUAGCCAUGGGCAGGUUGAAGGUUGGGUAACACUAACUGGAGGACCGAACCGACUAAUGUUGAAAAAUUAGCGGAUGACCUGUGGCUGGGGGUGAAAGGCCAAUCAAACCGGGAGAUAGCUGGUUCUCCCCGAAAGCUAUUUAGGUAGCGCCUCGUGAACUCAUCUUCGGGGGUAGAGCACUGUUUCGGCUAGGGGGCCAUCCCGGCUUACCAACCCGAUGCAAACUACGAAUACCGAAGAAUGUUAUCACGGGAGACACACGGCGGGUGCUAACGUCCGUCGUGAAGAGGGAAACAACCCAGACCGCCAGCUAAGGUCCCAAAGUCAUGGUUAAGUGGGAAACGAUGUGGGAAGGCACAGACAGCCAGGAUGUUGGCUUAGAAGCAGCCAUCAUUUAAAGAAAGCGUAAUAGCUCACUGGUCGAGUCGGCCUGCGCGGAAGAUGUAACGGGGCUAAACCAUGCACCGAAGCUGCGGCAGCGACACUAUGUGUUGUUGGGUAGGGGAGCGUUCUGUAAGCCGUUGAAGGUGUGCUGUGAGGCAUGCUGGAGGUAUCAGAAGUGCGAAUGCUGACAUAAGUAACGAUAAAGCGGGUGAAAAGCCCGCUCGCCGGAAGACCAAGGGUUCCUGUCCAACGUUAAUCGGGGCAGGGUGAGUCGACCCCUAAGGCGAGGCCGAAAGGCGUAGUCGAUGGGAAACAGGUUAAUAUUCCUGUACUUGGUGUUACUGCGAAGGGGGGACGGAGAAGGCUAUGUCAGCCGGGCGACGGUUGUCCCGGUUUAAGCAUGUAGGCGGAGGUUCCAGGUAAAUCCGGUACCUUGUUAACGCUGAGGUGUGAUGACGAGGCACUACGGUGCUGAAGUGAUAAAUGCCCUGCUUCCAGGAAAAGCCUCUAAGCAUCAGGUAACACGAAAUCGUACCCCAAACCGACACAGGUGGUCAGGUAGAGAAUACCAAGGCGCUUGAGAGAACUCGGGUGAAGGAACUAGGCAAAAUGGUGCCGUAACUUCGGGAGAAGGCACGCUGAUAUGUAGGUGAAGCCCCUGCGGGCGGAGCUGAAAUCAGUCGAAGAUACCAGCUGGCUGCAACUGUUUAUUAAAAACACAGCACUGUGCAAACACGAAAGUGGACGUAUACGGUGUGACGCCUGCCCGGUGCCGGAAGGUUAAUUGAUGGGGUUAGCGGCAACGCGAAGCUCUUGAUCGAAGCCCCGGUAAACGGCGGCCGUAACUAUAACGGUCCUAAGGUAGCGAAAUUCCUUGUCGGGUAAGUUCCGACCUGCACGAAUGGCGUAAUGAUGGCCAGGCUGUCUCCACCCGAGACUCAGUGAAAUUGAACUCGCUGUGAAGAUGCAGUGUACCCGCGGCAAGACGGAAAGACCCCGUGAACCUUUACUAUAGCUUGACACUGAACACUGGUCCUUGAUGUGUAGGAUAGGUGGGAGGCUUUGAAGCGUGGACGCCAGUCUGCGUGGAGCCAACCUUGAAAUACCACCCUUUAAUGGCUGGUGUUCUAACGUAGACCCGUAAUCCGGGUUGCGGACAGUGUCUGGUGGGUAGUUUGACUGGGGCGGUCUCCUCCCAAAGAGUAACGGAGGAGCACGAAGGUUGGCUAAUCCUGGUCGGACAUCAGGAGGUUAGUGCAAUGGCAUAAGCCAGCUUGACUGCGAGCGUGACGGCGCGAGCAGGUGCGAAAGCAGGUCAUAGUGAUCCGGUGGUUCUGAAUGGAAGGGCCAUCGCUCAACGGAUAAAAGGUACUCCGGGGAUAACAGGCUGAUACCGCCCAAGAGUUCAUAUCGACGGCGGUGUUUGGCACCUCGAUGUCGGCUCAUCACAUCCUGGGGCUGAAGUAGGUCCCAAGGGUAUGGCUGUUCGCCAUUUAAAGUGGUACGCGAGCUGGGUUUAGAACGUCGUGAGACAGUUCGGUCCCUAUCUGCCGUGGGCGCUGGAGAAUUGAGGGGGGCUGCUCCUAGUACGAGAGGACCGGAGUGGACGCAUCACUGGUGUUCGGGUUGUCAUGCCAAUGGCACUGCCCGGUAGCUAAAUGCGGAAGAGAUAAGUGCUGAAAGCAUCUAAGCACGAAACUUGCCCCGAGAUGAGUUCUCCCUGAGAC
This 2794-nucleotide ribosomal RNA is filed under the name Enterobacter cloacae. RNAcentral's name for it is "bacterial LSU rRNA". It matches the Rfam family "Bacterial large subunit ribosomal RNA". The record is from RNAcentral. Lineage: Bacteria; Pseudomonadati; Pseudomonadota; Gammaproteobacteria; Enterobacterales; Enterobacteriaceae.